This 497-nucleotide ribosomal RNA is filed under the name uncultured bacterium. Its description in RNAcentral is "partial 16S ribosomal RNA". It matches the Rfam family "Bacterial small subunit ribosomal RNA", at positions 28 to 507 of the family's 1533-position model. The record is from RNAcentral.
GAUGAACGCUGGCGGCGUGCCUAAUACAUGCAAGUCGAGCGAACAGACGAGGAGCUUGCUCCUCUGACGUUAGCGGCGGACGGGUGAGUAACACGUGGAUAACCUACCUAUAAGACUGGGAUAACUUCGGGAAACCGGAGCUAAUACCGGAUCAUAUAUUGAACCGCAUGGAUCAAUAGUGAAAGACGGUUUUGCUGUCACUUAUAGAUGGAUCCGCGCCGCAUUAGCUAGUUGGUAAGGUAACGGCUUACCAAGGCGACGAUGCGUAGCCGACCUGAGAGGGUGAUCGGCCACACUGGAACUGAGACACGGUCCAGACUCCUACGGGAGGCAGCAGUAGGGAAUCUUCCGCAAUGGGCGAAAGCCUGACGGAGCAACGCCGCGUGAGUGAUGAAGGUCUUCGGAUCGUAAAACUCUGUUAUUAGGGAAGAACAAAUGUGUAAGUAACUAUGCACGUCUUGACGGUACCUAAUCAGAAAGCCACGGCUAACUACGUG